RNAcentral lists this ribosomal RNA (445 nucleotides) under uncultured bacterium. RNAcentral's name for it is "partial 16S ribosomal RNA". It matches the Rfam family "Bacterial small subunit ribosomal RNA", at positions 354 to 796 of the family's 1533-position model. The record is from RNAcentral.
GUGAGGAAUAUUGGACAAUGGGCGCAAGCCUGAUCCAGCCAUGCCGCGUGCAGGAAGACGCAUCUAUGGUGUGUAAACUGCUUUUGUACGGGAAGAAACACUCCCUCGUGAGGGAGCUUGACGGUACCGUAAGAAUAAGGAUCGGCUAACUCCGUGCCAGCAGCCGCGGUAAUACGGAGGAUCCAAGCGUUAUCCGGAAUCAUUGGGUUUAAAGGGUCCGUAGGCGGUUUAAUAAGUCAGGGGUGAAAGCCCAUCGCUCAACGAUGGAACGGCCAUUGAUACUGUUAGACUUGAAUUACAAGGAAGUAACUAGAAUAUGUAGUGUAGCGGUGAAAUGCUUAGAUAUUACAUGGAAUACCAAUUGCGAAGGCAGGUUACUACUUGUGGAUUGACGCUGAUGGACGAAAGCGUGGGGAGCGAACAGGAUUAGAAACCCCGGUAGUCC